This 429-nucleotide ribosomal RNA is filed under the name Actinomycetes bacterium. Its description in RNAcentral is "Actinobacteria bacterium partial 16S ribosomal RNA". It matches the Rfam family "Bacterial small subunit ribosomal RNA", at positions 355 to 776 of the family's 1533-position model. Lineage: Bacteria; Bacillati; Actinomycetota; Actinomycetes. The record is from RNAcentral.
UAGGGAAUCUUCCGCAAUGGGCGAAAGCUUGACGGAGCAACGCCGCGUGAGUGAUGAAGGUCUUCGGAUCGUAAAACUCUGUUAUUAGGGAAGAACAAAUGUGUAAGUAACUAUGCACGUCUUGACGGUACCUAAUCAGAAAGCCACGGCUAACUACGUGCCAGCAGCCGCGGUAAUACGUAGGUGGCAAGCGUUAUCCGGAAUUAUUGGGCGUAAAGCGCGCGUAGGCGGUUUUUUAAGUCUGAUGUGAAAGCCCACGGCUCAACCGUGGAGGGUCAUUGGAAACUGGAAAACUUGAGUGCAGAAGAGGAAAGUGGAAUUCCAUGUGUAGCGGUGAAAUGCGCAGAGAUAUGGAGGAACACCAGUGGCGAAGGCGACUUUCUGGUCAGUAACUGACGCUGAUGUGCGAAAGCGUGGGGAUCAAACAGG